UUGGGCGGGCCGGGUAAGGUCCAGCCGUAUCCGCCUCCUUCAUGUCCCGCUGUGGGAGGGGCUCUGGAGCGCCGGGACUGUGAGAUGGCCAAUGACGGUCUGACCCGUUGGGCCGGGCCAGGUCGCGGACAACGUCGACCGUUUGUUUAAGAAGCGUGGACUCUUGUCCUGAGUGCACCGAGGCUUUCAGCCUGCGGGACAGUGGUGCGAUUUGCAUUAGAGAAAGGGAGAUGCCAUGUGCUGGCCCAGCACUCCAACAGGGGCCUGACCUCUAGGAACGGGACACUGGAGGAAGCCUAGACAUCUGAACAAAUCAAGUCAUCCAGAUCCACGGUCAGCUCCUGCCCCGACUUGGCCUUCCUCCUGCUGGGCUGGCCCACGGACCUCGGGAACCUGCCCUGGCUGUGGGUGACCUGCAGCCUAUCUCCCAGGACUAUGGAAGCCCCAUGCAGGAACAUGGUUCUGACACUUUGGGGAUUAUACCCUAAGCUUAAAGGACUGGAAAAGCCCCUGAAGUCCCGAGACCACAACCCUCCACCUUCUAAAGAUAAGACAAGUCACUGAAGGUCUCAGAACUGUGGCCCAUUCACCCCUUCCCUCAAGACAAGAGUGUGGCCAAGCAUCAAUCUCACCCCCAGAGACCAGACGGUGUCCAGGUCUUGGGCAGACGAAACCUGCUCCUUGGGGAUGGUCUUCCUGGCUGUGCUUCCAAAGGGCUGGCCUGCAAUCAGCUGGUUUUCACUUGAUCCUUUCGGGGUUUGCAUUAUAUCUGACUGAAGGAAUGAACUGGGAGAGAACAGCAGAGCCGCAGCGGAAUGUGGAAAGGCCCACGUCCAGACUGUUCCCAUUCUGAUUUAAAAGCCUGAUGAAGGAACAGCUGAACUCAGAGAAACAGCAGGCAACCUCAUGGAGACCAUGGACCCCUCUGCCAUCCCACCCAUCUUUGAACCAAUGCAAACUGUCUUCAGAACUCAUGCCCUUACAUAAACAGGCUCUACAGGCAGAUCACCUGAGGUUGAAAGGUGAAGCCACCUGGACUUCUGGGUCCAGUAGAGACUUGGAGAACUUUUCUGUCUUACAAAAGGAUUGUAAAAUGCACCAAUCAGCACUCUGUAGCUAGGAUUGUAAAACGCACCAGUGUUCUGUAGCUAGCUAGAGGUUUGUAAAAUGCACCAAUCAGUGCUCUGUAGCUAGCCAGAGGUUCGUAAAAUGCACCAAUCAGUGCUCUGUAAAAACACACCAAUCAGUGCUCCGUAGCUAGCUAGAGGUUUGUAAAAUGAACCAAUCAGCACUCUGUAAAAUGGACCAAUCAGUGCUCUGUAAAAUGGACCAAUCAGCACUCUGUAAAAUGGACCAAUCCACUCUGUAAAAUGGACCAAAUGGGAGGGGACAACUCAGGGAAUAAAAGCUGGCCACCCCAGCCCUCAGCGGUAACCUGCUUAAGUCCCCUUCCAGGCUGUGGGAGGUUUGUUCUUUCGUUCUCCACAAUAAAUCUUGCUGCUGCUCAGUCUUGGGGUCCGCAUCACCUGUAAGAGCUGUAACACUCACUGUGAAGGUCACGCUUCAUUCCUGAAAUCAGCGAGACCAUGAACCCACUGGAAGGAACAAACUCCGGACACAAGGGCAGGAGUUUGAGACCAGCCUGACCAACAGGGCGAAACACUGUGUCUACCACAAUUACAAAAAUUAGCUGGGCUUGGUGGUACGCACCUGUAGUCCCAGCUACUUGGGAGGCUGAGACAGGAGAAUUGCUUGAACCCUGGAAGCAGAGGAUGUACUGAGCCAAGAUUGUGCCACUGCACUAUAGCCUGGGCGACAGAGACUCUGUCUCAAUAAAUAAAUAAAUAAAUAAAUAAUAUAAAAAAAAAACCUCUACAAUAUUUUCCUGCUGUCCUCCUAACACUUGAACUUGGGCUAAUGCAAUUUAAGCUUCAAGUCUCCCCAGUGUCAGUGAAGUGAAGCAAUGAACAGUGCCUAAUGAGCCCUUAAAAUGUAGACCACCCAUCUACAUAGCGCCUUCUUUUCCACCCCUUUAAACAAAUGAUAGCUACUGCUGUUUGAUUUUUACAUUAAGAAGAACGUGUUGUCAAAAGUACCUAAAUCAUUUUCUCAGCUUGGUGCUUCACUUUCCCUUUAAGGAUGCAGACUAAGGAUCUUAAUUUAUGAGUUACCCACUCAAGCCUCUUUGCCACACACCUGGACCUGUUUGCAGAAUUAAAUUAUUGGCUGUGAAUCUAACAUCAAACCUCCAGAUGGCACCAGAGAACUGAGAAAAACAAUUCCAUUGCCAAGGAGCCUUUGUGUUGCUGACAAGAGAGGAGCAGGCUGAGAGAAAACGCCCUGUUUGUCACAAAGUUACAUCUGCGAGCUCCUUCAAGGAAGGGAGGUGCCUGACGCUCCUUGUUAAUGCCGGUUGCUGUUACAGACUUGCAAUUGUGCAACUCUGUGAUGUAAACAGGCAGGCUUUGUAUUUUUGCAGUGCCCCUGGAGAGUGGAGAGGGUGGUUCUCUUGGCUGUCUCUGGAACAAAUUUGGGUAAGUGCUCAAAGAUGUGUUACUACAGAAUGUACUUGUGAAGUUCUUGUUGCAGUGCAGUCAGAUAAGCAAAGAUAUCUGCUAGAAAAUAAAGAAAAAGCUACACAAUUUUAGACUUUGUAGUUCAUUGUCUUUUAAGACAGCAAGUCCUGCUAUUGUCUGUCAUAAAGCUACAGAAAAAGACCAUAUUGAAAACUGACGAUAGCAGUUGAUUAUUUGUGAAAAGCCUGAGAGAUGAUUCAGUAAAUACAAGGUGAAUUUCAUUGCAUCUUCAUGCAAUCAGAGACUUGCAUACACUUUUUAUCCCCUAAACAGAUGAACGAAUGGCAUGGGCCAGCUAGCAGGGAGUUGGCAGGAUAAAGUUCUAACCAACAAUUGCCACUUGCCUUCCUUUCUUCCAUCAGCUUCUAGCUUACCUUUCAGAGACAGGUUCUAUCAAAGGAAACCUAAAGGGAACCUUCCUCCCUGGCCCUGCCCCAUCUAGCGUCCACAAGGAUACUACACUCCAGUGAAGACUAGGGUGUAUCCCAACUCCCCAAGAGCAGCAUCAACAGCUAUUAAUCCUAAAAGUCUUGGUUUACUUCUGCAACAUUGAGACACUUGCUGGGGCCAGAGCACAGGGGGCAAAUGGGAACCUGAAAUGCUCUUUUCCCAGCUUACUGCAGGACUCUUUGUCUCAUCUGUUAGCCAUAUGUCACCCCAUUAGAGAGAUCUCUCCUGACCAUCCCAUCUAAAAUUAUUUCCAGUUACUCACUCUCUCAUCCCUCUGCACUUAUGUGAAUAAAACAGUCUCAUUUUAUACUUGAUUGUCUGCCUUCCCUCCCUACAGUUAUUGUUGAAGCAGGCAGGAAUUCCCUCUGUCUGGCUCCCACGGUAUCCCCACCUUUUAGAAGAGUGUGUGGCAUGUAG
This 3443-nucleotide long non-coding RNA is filed under the name Homo sapiens (human). RNAcentral describes it as "HSALNT0223460". The record is from RNAcentral. Lineage: Eukaryota; Metazoa; Chordata; Mammalia; Primates; Hominidae.